GAGGGGAAAGGAAAAGGGGUUGAAUCCUUGUUUUGUUCUUUUGUUCUUUUUUUUUUCUUUUUCUCUUUUUGUCAGGACUUGUUUACUUUACACCCUACCCAAGUUUGGCUGCAUUUUUUUGAGUGUGAUAACUUUUUUUAUAAAAAGGAGAGAGAGAGAGAGAUGGCUAUUUCAACCCCGUUUUAAGGGGUUAAUAAGCUACUCACUCGCUCACUGUUAUAUAAUAUUCGUACAUGUUGCCGUAUAAAUUGUAAACAGUAAGCAAUCCCCAUCCUUUCACUCUUGAAUCAUGCAACAGUCCGUGCAUAUAAAGCU
RNAcentral lists this small RNA (315 nucleotides) under Histoplasma ohiense. RNAcentral describes it as "hypothetical lncRNA". The record is from RNAcentral. Lineage: Eukaryota; Fungi; Ascomycota; Eurotiomycetes; Onygenales; Ajellomycetaceae.